UUUUUUUUGGUUGAUACCUGUGCAGGUAUUGAACCUGUGCCACAGCAAUGGCCCAAGCCAUAGCAGUGACAAUGCCAGAUCCUUAACCCACUGCACAAGAAAACUCCUUUUCUUCCUUUUUAAAGUGAUAAAAAUCAAUAAUGGAAAGUCAUGCCCGCUUUCUCUUUUUCCUUAGAUGUUUUUCCUACCUAAAACUCUGCACCUAUUUUAAUUAUGAUAAUAUUCUUCUGUUUUCCCAAGGAAAGGCAUUCCAUGUGGUCUUGGCACCAGGAAUUCACUUUUUGCUCACUGUCCUUUCAAGUGGCUGAUACAGAAUCAACAGCAGCAUUUCUGAAUUUGAUAUAAUCUAUAUAAUCUAUACCCUGUGGUGAUCUCUAUUGACAGAAGAGCUGACCAGCUUGAACAAACUCUAGUGUAUUGAAGCAUUUGCACAACACAACAUAUGUACCCACAGCCUACUGUCUAAAAUGCAAGGAAUCACCAGGUACCAUCACUAUUCUUUCACCAUCUUGGAAAGAUGAUAAAUGACUCCUUUCCUUGCUUUAAAUUGAGAAUAUGACUAGCUCUUCAAACUACUGAUAAUAGGGAGCUCUUAUGCUUAAGAGUAAAUUGAGACAAGUACUAGAUUAGUAACAGGUAUAAGUGCAAAGUGGUUGUUGGGUAUUAGUUUCUUAGGGUUGCCACAGCAAAAUACCACAGACUAGGUGUCUUAAACAACAGAAAUUCAUUCUUGCAGUUUUGAAGAUAGGAAGUAUAAGAUCAAGGUGUCUGCAGAUUAGAUUUCUCCACAGACCUCUCUCCUUGACAUAUAGACAGAUGGCCAGCAGAUAGAUAUCAGCCUUCUCAGUGCAUCCUCACAUGCCUUAAACCCUGAAACAGGGGCCCUGAUGUCUCUUCCUCUUUCUUCCUUUCUUUCUUCCUUCCAUCUUAUUUUUUUUAGGGCCGCAACCAAGGCAUAUGGAAGUUCCCAGGCUAGGGGUAGAAUCAGGCUGCAGCUGGUCAGCCUACAUACACCACAACCACAUCAAUACCACAUCCAAGCCACAUCUGUCACCUACACCACGGCUCAGGGAAACACCAGAUCCUUAACCCCCUGAGCAAGGCCAGGGAACAAACCAGUGGCCUCAUGGAUACUAGUAGGCCUUGUUACCACUGAGCCACCACAGUAACUCUUUUUUUUUCUUUUUAAGGCGACAUCUGUUGCAUAUGGAAUUUUCCAGGCUAGGGGUUGAAUCAGAUCUGCAGCUGCUGGCCUACAUCACAACCACAGCAAUGAGGGAUCCAAACCACAUCUGUGACCUCCAGCAUAGCUCACAGCAACACCAGAUCCUUAACCCACUGAGCAAGGCCAGGGAUCAAACCUGCAUUCUCAUGGAUACUAGAUGGGUUCUUAACCCACUGAACCACAAUGGGAACUCCAGAAUUUGCUUCUUUUUAAAGGUUGAAUAGUAUUCUGUUGAACAUAUAUAUAUCACAUUUUCUUUAUUCUAAAAUUCAUUUGUUAAUAGACACUUAGGUUGUUUCUGUAUCUUGACUGCUGUGAGUAAUCCCACAGGGAACAUGGGCAUGCAGAGAUCUCACAGAGGUAUUUCAGUAAUUUAACUUCAAAAGGAGAAAAGAAUGAUAUGCAAGCAUUUAAAAAUAACAAACAAUUAAAAAUCCAAUAUCUCAGGUCAUAUUCAUUUCAGUGGACAGUAGAGACAACACAGAAGCAGCCCCUCCUUCAACUGCCCUUUGCUAUGCUGACACUCCUGAGAGCAAUACCAGAGGAGGGGAGACAGGUGAUGGAGGGUUAGGGUACCAGUUUCACCCACUUCCCACAGACACAGGUAUUCAAAAGAGAAAUUAAGUCAUAAAAAUGCAAAAUUCUGAUUAUUAGCACAAAUCUAUGUUUGAGAAAUGAUGAUCAUACCUUCUUAAAAACUUGAAUGAAUAAUUACAAAAUGUAGUGCAAAUAAUGAGCUGGCUAACUUUUUGAGGAUCAGUGACAAGUUCAUGGAACAUCAAAAGUACUGUGGGGGAGUUCCCAUUAUGGCUCAGUUGUAAAGAACCUGACUAGUAUCCAUGAGGAUGUGGGUUCAAUCCUUGGCCUUGCUCAGUGGGUUAAGGAUCUGGCAUUACUUCAAGCUGUGGUGUAGGUCACAGAUUCAGCCUGCAUCCCACAUUGCUGUGGUUGUGACAUAGGCUGGCAGCUGUGGCUCUGAUUCAGCCUCUAGCCUGGAAACUUCCAUAUGUUACAGUGCACCUCUAAAAAGCAAAAAAAAAAAAAAAAAAAAAAA
This 2279-nucleotide long non-coding RNA is filed under the name Sus scrofa (pig). RNAcentral's name for it is "lncRNA (ENSSSCG00030004288.1)". Lineage: Eukaryota; Metazoa; Chordata; Mammalia; Artiodactyla; Suidae. The record is from RNAcentral.